CCUACGGGUGGCAGCAGUGAGGAAUAUUGGUCAAUGGGCGCGAGCCUGAACCAGCCAAGUAGCGUGAAGGAUGACUGCCCUACGGGUUGUAAACUUCUUUUAUAAAGGAAUAAAGUGAGGCACGUGUGCCUUUUUGUAUGUACUUUAUGAAUAAGGAUCGGCUAACUCCGUGCCAGCAGCCGCGGUAAUACGGAGGAUCCGAGCGUUAUCCGGAUUUAUUGGGUUUAAAGGGAGCGUAGAUGGGGUGUUAAGUCAGACGUGAAAGUCUGCGGCUCAACCGUGAAAUUGCAAUUGAUACUGGCAGCCUUGAGUGCAGUUGAGGUAGGCGGAAUUCGUGGUGUAGCGGUGAAAUGCUUAGAUAUAACGAAGAACUCCGAUUGCGAAGGCAGCCUACUAAACUGCCACUGACACUGAGGCUCGAAAGUGUGGGUAUCAAACAGGAUUAGAUACCCGAGUAGUC
RNAcentral lists this ribosomal RNA (460 nucleotides) under uncultured bacterium. Its description in RNAcentral is "partial 16S ribosomal RNA". It matches the Rfam family "Bacterial small subunit ribosomal RNA", at positions 338 to 795 of the family's 1533-position model. The record is from RNAcentral.